Oryza rufipogon (brownbeard rice) is the source of this 205-nucleotide microRNA precursor. It matches the Rfam family "MIR812 microRNA precursor family". The record is from Rfam. Lineage: Eukaryota; Viridiplantae; Streptophyta; Magnoliopsida; Poales; Poaceae.
GUUUUGCGUUGUUUAUGUCCAACAUUUGACUGUCUGUCUAACUUAAAAAAAUUGUUAUGAUUAGUAUUUUUAUGUAUUACUAGAUGAUAAAACAUUAAUAAUGCUUUAUGGUGAGACUAUCUUUUUUUAAUUAUUUUUUCAUAUAAUUUUUUAAAUAAGACGUACAGUCAAACGUUGGACACGGAAAAUCAUAACUGCACUUAAA